UCUCGAUCCAUCAUGCAAGUCGAGCGGACAGAUGGGUAGCUUGCUCCCUGAUGUUAGCGGCGGACGGGUGAGUAACACGUGGGUAACCUGCCUGUAAGACUGGGAUAACUCCGGGAAACCGGGGCUAAUACCGGAUGGUUGUCUGAACCGCAUGGUUCAGACAUAAAAGGUGGCUUCGGCUACCACUUACAGAUGGACCCGCGGCGCAUUAGCUAGUUGGUGAGGUAACGGCUCACCAAGGCGACGAUGCGUAGCCGACCUGAGAGGGUGAUCGGCCACACUGGGACUGAGACACGGCCCAGACUCCUACGGGAGGCAGCAGUAGGGAAUCUUCCGCAAUGGACGAAAGUCUGACGGAGCAACGCCGCGUGAGUGAUGAAGGUUUUCGGAUCGUAAAGCUCUGUUGUUAGGGAAGAACAAGUGCCGUUCAAAUAGGGCGGCACCUUGACGGUACCUAACCAGAAAGCCACGGCUAACUACGUGCCAGCAGCCGCGGUAAUACGUAGGUGGCAAGCGUUGUCCGGAAUUAUUGGGCGUAAAGGGCUCGCAGGCGGUUUCUUAAGUCUGAUGUGAAAGCCCCCGGCUCAACCGGGGAGGGUCAUUGGAAACUGGGGAACUUGAGUGCAGAAGAGGAGAGUGGAAUUCCACGUGUAGCGGUGAAAUGCGUAGAGAUGUGGAGGAACACCAGUGGCGAAGGCGACUCUCUGGUCUGUAACUGACGCUGAGGAGCGAAAGCUUGGGAGCAAAGGAUUAAUCCCCUGGUAGCCCACCGUAAACAUGAUGCUAGUGUUAGGGGUUUCCGCCCCUUAUGCUGCACCUAACAUUAGCUUCCCUGGGAGUCCGUCCAAACUAAACUCAAAGGAUUCGUCCCCACUAUUUUUUUC
RNAcentral lists this ribosomal RNA (884 nucleotides) under Bacillus amyloliquefaciens. RNAcentral describes it as "bacterial SSU rRNA". It matches the Rfam family "Bacterial small subunit ribosomal RNA", at positions 45 to 936 of the family's 1533-position model. Lineage: Bacteria; Bacillati; Bacillota; Bacilli; Caryophanales; Bacillaceae. The record is from RNAcentral.